This 626-nucleotide long non-coding RNA is filed under the name Chinchilla lanigera (long-tailed chinchilla). Its description in RNAcentral is "lncRNA (ENSCLAG00000025698.1)". The record is from RNAcentral. Lineage: Eukaryota; Metazoa; Chordata; Mammalia; Rodentia; Chinchillidae.
UGCUGAGCAGGAGUCCAGUCCCAGGUGUUCAGAGAGGCGGACCAGGCCCUCCCGGAAAGGUCCAGUGUUUCUGAGUCCUUCAGGAGGGUGAGGAGAGCCCGCAGGCUGCUGUGCACCUCUGCAACUUGCUUGUCCCAGGGUCGCAGCAAGUGGGGUGCAGAACACCACAGACUGCUUUGAGCAGAGCCCACUUCCUUCAUCCCGGAGAGCGUGAAGCCGUUACACCAACAUCAAUCAAGGGGAACCCACGGGCUGCACUCACACCGUUGAAGCAGCCAGACCGUCUUGCCUCGCAGCACCAGGUGCUGCUUCGCCGUGGGCACGCCGAGCUCCCCCGGUUACCUGCGGCAUCUCCUGCCUGGGCUUCGCCAUGGUGCACCGGACCUGGACUCGCGAGUCUGCACGCUGCGCAAGGAGGACCUGCUGCUGGAGCUCUGGCCAGCGUCUCCUCGCACCUGGAUGCGGGGACUUGGGGGCCAGGGCGAAGCUGCGCAAGACUCAGGGUGGGAUGGCUAGGGAGGACGCAGAGGACCAGGAGGGGGAAGUUAGGAAUCCUACAUAACCAAAGGCGCCGAUGCUCUGCAGGGCGAGUUCAGCUGCCUGCACCCAGCUCCGGCUGCUCUUAG